RNAcentral lists this ribosomal RNA (441 nucleotides) under uncultured bacterium. RNAcentral describes it as "partial 16S ribosomal RNA". It matches the Rfam family "Bacterial small subunit ribosomal RNA", at positions 338 to 795 of the family's 1533-position model. The record is from RNAcentral.
CCUACGGGUGGCUGCAGUCGGGAAUAUUGCACAAUGGAGGAAACUCUGAUCCAGUGACGCCGCGUGCAGGAAGAAGGUUUUCGGAUUGUAAACUGCUUUAGACAGGGAAGAAACAAGACAGUACUUGUAGAAUAAGCUCCGGCUAACUACGUGCCAGCAGCCGCGGUAAUACGUAGGGAGCAAGCGUUAUCCGGAUUUCGUGGGUGUAAAGGGUGCGUAGACGGGAAUUUAAGUUAGUUGUGAAAUCCCUCGGCUUAACGGAGGAACUGCAACUAAAACUGAAUUUCUUGAGUGCGGGAGAGGAAAGUGGAAUUCCUAGUGUAGCGGUGAAAUGCGUAGAUAUUAGGAGGAACACCAGUGGCGAAGGCGACUUUCUGGACCGUAACUGACGUUGAGGCACGAAAGUGUGGGGAGCAAACAGGAUUAGAUACCCCUGUAGUC